UACGUAGGUGGCAAGCGUUGUCCGGAAUUAUUGGGCGUAAAGCGCGCGCAGGCGGUUUCUUAAGCCUGAUGUGAAAUCUUGCGGCUCAACCGCAAGCGGCCAUUGGAAACUGGGAAACUUGAGUGCAGAAGAGGAGAGUGGAAUUCCACGUGUAGCGGUGAAAUGCGUAGAGAUGUGGAGGAACACCAGUGGCGAAGGCGACUCUCUGGUCUGUAACUGACGCUGAGGCGCGAAAGCGUGGGGAGCGAACAGG
Molecule: ribosomal RNA, 253 nt
Filed under: uncultured bacterium
Lineage: Bacteria
Description: partial 16S ribosomal RNA
Rfam family: Bacterial small subunit ribosomal RNA
Source: RNAcentral